RNAcentral lists this ribosomal RNA (292 nucleotides) under uncultured bacterium. Its description in RNAcentral is "partial 16S ribosomal RNA". It matches the Rfam family "Bacterial small subunit ribosomal RNA", at positions 505 to 796 of the family's 1533-position model. The record is from RNAcentral.
GUGCCAGCCGCCGCGGUAAUACAGAGGUCCCAAGCGUUGUUCGGAUUCACUGGGCGUAAAGGGUGCGUAGGUGGUGAGGUAAGUCGGAUGUGAAAGCUCCGAGCUCAACUCGGAAAUGGCAUUGGAAACUACCUUGCUCGAGGGUUUGAGGGGGGACUGGAAUACUUGGUGUAGCAGUGAAAUGCGUAGAUAUCAAGUAGAACACCAGUGGCGAAGGCGAGUCCCUGGAAAACUCCUGACACUGAGGCACGAAAGCUAGGGGAGCAAACAGGAUUAGAUACCCCCGUAGUCC